AACCCUGUGGUGUAGUGGUAGCACGCGUCACCUGUGGUAUGGACGAAACACGGAUUCGACUCCCGUCUGAGGCCGCA
Molecule: non-coding RNA, 77 nt
Organism: Parelaphostrongylus tenuis
Lineage: Eukaryota; Metazoa; Nematoda; Chromadorea; Rhabditida; Metastrongylidae
Source: the annotation of a GenBank genome assembly